RNAcentral lists this ribosomal RNA (960 nucleotides) under Calisoga sp. V DHL-215. RNAcentral describes it as "partial 12S ribosomal RNA". Lineage: Eukaryota; Metazoa; Arthropoda; Arachnida; Araneae; Nemesiidae. The record is from RNAcentral.
UUAGAUCGAUGAUACGCGAUAUCUUUAGCUUAAACCUAGUUUUAUACCGCCGUCCAAAGGGUAAAAUUAAAUAUUUUAUCCGCUUCAUACCCCACCAAGUAGAAAUGUCAGGUCAAGGUGAAGUCAAUGUUUGAGUUUUAAUGAGUUAUCAAUAAAAAUAAUUUAUGGACUUCUGUUUAAAAACAAAAAUCGAAUUAAGAUUUAAAAGUAUUUUCAAUUUAAUAUAUUAAAAAGAAUAAGCAAAAAAGGUGUACAUAUCGCCCGUCACCCUCGUCCAAAGAUGAGGUAAGUCGUAACACAGUUAAUAUACUGGAAAGUGUAUUAAGCGUACUGGUUUUAGCUUUUAGCAUUUCACUUACACCGAAAAGAUGUCAAUUACUUUAUUCCUAAUUUUUUUUUACAAAAUCUUUGAUCUUAUAUCUAUCUAACCCAACAUCUUAAAAACUGAAAAGGAGCAUUAGAACAUAACUAAAGUAAAAUUAUGUACCUUUUGUAUCAGGGAUUAUCAAACCACCAUGUAUACAUCAAACUCCCGAAACAAGACGAACUUUGUAUUUUAGUAAUAGUUAUGGCAUAAACAAUAUAAAUUAUACAAAGUUGAGAUAUUCUUUUCAAGUCUUUCCUUAUCUGGUUCACUACCCAUUCAUCUCACAAAACAGUGCAAAGAACAAGCUUUGCACUUAGGAUUAUUUACACCCCCCCCCACAAUCUAGAUUUAACAGUAUCCACAUUGUCCUCAAACUUCAUCACCCUAUUUUAUUCAAACAAAAAUCAAGUGCCCCAUCCCAUUAUCCUUACAAUGAUAAUAUUAGUAAAAAUUUUCCUUUUUUGUUUCUCUAAACCCAUCUUUCACACACAAAUUUACGUCGAAAUUAUGAACUAGGCCCUCAAUCAAUUGACUGUUUACCAAAAACAUAGCUAAUAGGUAGCAAUUACUAGUAGUACCUGCUCCAUGAAAAA